UUUAAAUCGAUAAUUUUUUUUUAUUAAGGAGCCACUUUUAAAUUUUGCACAGAGUCUCCUAAAACUCAGAGACGCCCCUGUUUGCAUGUCUCCAUGAAGAAAGGUGUUUAUUAGUUCGAUGGUCAUUCUACUAUUUGGAUUAUGUAAGGGCUGGAGUGGUUAUUUCUUCGAUGUGCAACCUAUAGUGACAUCUUGGUAGUAUGUAAAAUUAUGAAAAACAUAUUGAGCAUGUGUUUACGUGAAAAUUUGGUAAAUAACCGCUAGUUUAAGUAUUUAAACUCGCGAGAUCAACUAGUAAAUCUCAGGACAAUUUUGUGUUUU
Molecule: long non-coding RNA, 321 nt
Filed under: Trifolium pratense (red clover)
Lineage: Eukaryota; Viridiplantae; Streptophyta; Magnoliopsida; Fabales; Fabaceae
Description: long non-coding RNA (TPRA_LNC011357)
Source: RNAcentral